This 354-nucleotide ribosomal RNA is filed under the name uncultured bacterium. RNAcentral's name for it is "bacterial SSU rRNA". It matches the Rfam family "Bacterial small subunit ribosomal RNA", at positions 1 to 334 of the family's 1533-position model. The record is from RNAcentral.
AGAGACGAGUCAGAGUUUGAUCCUGGCUCAGGAUGAACGCUGGCGGCGUGCCUAACACAUGCAAGUCGAACGAAGCACUAUAACAGAUCCUUCGGGUGAAGAUAUUGUGACUGAGUGGCGGACGGGUGAGUAACGCGUGGGUAACCUGCCCUGUACAGGGGGAUAACAGUUAGAAAUGACUGCUAAUACCGCAUAAGCGCACGAUGGUAGCAUUACCAGGUGUGAAAAACUCCGGUGGUACAGGAUGGGCCCGCGUCUGAUUAGCUGGUUGGCGGGGUAAGAGCCCACCAAGGCGACGAUCAGUAGCCGGUCUGAGAGGAUGAACGGCCACAUUGGAACUGAGACACGGUCCAA